Molecule: ribosomal RNA, 468 nt
Filed under: uncultured bacterium
Lineage: Bacteria
Description: bacterial SSU rRNA
Rfam family: Bacterial small subunit ribosomal RNA
Source: RNAcentral
GACACGCUGGCGGCGUGCUUAACACAUGCAAGUCGAACGGUGAUCUUGAGAGCUUGCUCUUGGGUGAUCAGUGGCGAACGGGUGAGUAACACGUGAGUAACCUGCCCCUGACUCUGGAAUAACUUCGGGAAACCGAAGCUAAUACCGGAUAUGACACAGAGCCGCACGGUUUCUGUGUGGAAAGUUUUUCGGUUGGGGAUGGACUCGCGGCCUAUCAGCUUGUUGGUGAGGUAAUGGCUCACCAAGGCGACGACGGGUAGCCGGCCUGAGAGGGCGACCGGCCACACUGGGACUGAGACACGGCCCAGACUCCUACGGGAGGCAGCAGUGGGGAAUAUUGCACAAUGGGCGAAAGCCUGAUGCAGCGACGCCGCGUGAGGGAUGAAGGCCUUCGGGUUGUAAACCUCUUUCAGUAGGGAAGAAGCGCAAGUGACGGUACCUACAGAAGAAGCACCGGCUAACUACGUG